UACGUAGGGUGCGAGCGUUGUCCGGAAUUAUUGGGCGUAAAGGGCUCGUAGGCGGUUUGUCACGUCGGGAGUGAAAACACCGGGCUUAACUCGGUGCUUGCUUUCGAUACGGGCUGACUAGAGGUAUGCAGGGGAGAACGGAAUUCCUGGUGUAGCGGUGAAAUGCGCAGAUAUCAGGAGGAACACCGGUGGCGAAGGCGGUUCUCUGGGCAUUACCUGACGCUCAUGCACGAAAGCGUGGGGAGCAAACAGG
Molecule: ribosomal RNA, 253 nt
Filed under: uncultured bacterium
Lineage: Bacteria
Description: partial 16S ribosomal RNA
Rfam family: Bacterial small subunit ribosomal RNA
Source: RNAcentral